UUUUCACUCUUUCUCAUCUUCUUCCUAUCCACAUCAAAACACACACUUACAUCAUCUUCUCCACUCUCUUUUUCUCUCAUCUCUACAAAACAUAAAUUUCAAACCAUUUACCUAAAAAAAAAGCUUCAACGAACUUCCAUCCUUAAACUUCACCAUAAAAUCAUCUUCAUCUUCACAUAACUCAUAACCUUGACCAUAACACCAUAAACAUAAAACAACCGUAUCAUGAAACUCCUUCUCUAAAACUCUUAAACUCACACUUCAACAAACAUUGAAACCACCCUCCAACAACACCUAUCACCUUCAACCUCCAUCUUAUUCCUCACAUAAAACCAUUGUGAAACUCCAACGUCUUCUGUCGGAAAACUAGCUGCUACAGCUCCGCAUCACCGCCGCAAUACUUCCCGCCGCCGUUUGAAGGAAAUGGUGGCAUAAAGCGCAUGAUUUGGAAGGAGAAAAGGGAACUUUUUUUUCUUUCAGUUGGCUUUCACACGAGUUGAGAGAGGAGGAGUUUUAUUCCUUAAUAGAAGAUUAGUUAUUUGUUUAAUUUUGAAAAAGUCAAAUUUUUCCUCUCUCCUUGCAUUAAUCCCACAGUCAUUUUUUUUGCUGUUA
This is a long non-coding RNA of Lathyrus oleraceus (garden pea), 612 nucleotides long. RefSeq lists it as uncharacterized. NCBI's taxonomy places the organism in Eukaryota, Viridiplantae, Streptophyta, Magnoliopsida, Fabales, Fabaceae. The transcript has 2 exons. The record is from RefSeq and is a predicted model, not a curated record.